ACACUAACAGGCUUUGGUAGGAGUGUGAUACAUUACUACUGUACACUGGAACGCUGGGUUAGUUUCUUGAUGUGUACUUUCAUUUUCCUGACGUUAUUAGCAAGAUUCAUGGACAAAGGUUUUUUCAUCAGUUCUUGUUUCGCUUGUUUCUUCCUUCUCGUCCGUUACUAUUUUCCCUACCGGCGUUCGUGGAGUAAUACUUAAAAACUGAGCAGAAACUGCCAUCGAUUUUAAAUGAUGGUGAGAAGAAAAUGUGUCCGAGUGUGUCCAAACUGUGUCUAAAGAGCGUAGAGGAAAAGUAAAAAGGUUAACAGGAAAGGGAAGGACUUGCUUCCCAGUAAAUAUCGAGUGGUGAGAGGUUGUAAAGGAGCUGGCUAAACGCGUGCAACAUCUUCCUACAUCCAAAAAGUUGCAACAAAAAUUUGACCAUUUUCAUACAUGAUCCAACACCACUCAAAAUGUUGCUACAGGGUGGCCAAUAGUGUGCAACAUGUUGCGUGCAACAAUGUUGUAGCAUUUUGUAUCAAUGAAAUGUUGCGUGCGUUUAAUUGUGUUGAUGUAUUAUGUGCUUCAUUUGAUAGCUGUGUGACCGUGUCACCUUUCCCUUUAACAUUUCCAAGUAACAUUGAGCUUGGGACAGCUGCUGCUAGUUAGUUUUAAGGUCGGCACACAC
Molecule: long non-coding RNA, 673 nt
Organism: Stylophora pistillata
Lineage: Eukaryota; Metazoa; Cnidaria; Anthozoa; Scleractinia; Pocilloporidae
Source: RefSeq, a predicted model, not a curated record